UUUUUGUUGGGCCCAGUAUGAAGGCAAACUGUUUGAUGUAGGAUAUAGAGCAUGCUUGUCAGUCCUGCUUUAGUAUCUUUUCAAAAAUUAUGCCACUGGACAAAUAUAAUUAAAAUAGGCAAUCAUUUAAAAUAAGAAUAUAGUGCAGUUACUGCCAGUGCUGAAAUUUUUGUAAUGUACAGAUGCAAUCAAUUAUCCACUGCCUAACUAUGAACUCUUCCAUUCCUCUGUACCACAUUGUUCAUGUGGAAAAAUGUCACUGAAUGGUAUAUAACCUACUUAGAGUGCUUUUAUGUUGAGAGUAAUUGCUGCCUUGAACAAAAUGGUGACUGCUGCAUACUGUUCCAGGUGGCAUCCAGGUUCCUUUGGCAUCAAACUAUGUAUCCGGCCCACUUUCAGCAAGUUUUUGGACCAUACUACUCUUACUCCAUUAAUAAUGUAAUAAUUUUGUCUUUCUAUAAAACUUUGUUUUGUGACAGAUUAUCUUGUGGUUCUAAAUAAUAUUCCUUGAGCCAAGUAUAUGAAGGUAUGUGGUGUACCUUACGUUUACCUCAAAGGAAACUGUAAUGGUUGCUCUGAUACUGUGGGAACAUUUUUUUUUUAAAAUUUUUUUUGGGGGGGGAGUAAUUUCCUUCUAACUUAACAAUAUAAGGGUAUUAACAAAUAGAAAAUUUGUUCCUCCUUCCUCCCCCUUCCCCCACUGAUUAUACUAGCUGUCUCACCUUCUUGCAAAGGUGGUUAACGUACUUGGACCUCCUUCUGUGACAGCAAAGGAAAAUCCAUCUGAUGGCCAGCAUUCAUCACACAAGAGAUUGCAGGAACCAGUCAGUACUUCUCAGUGGAUAACCAACCACUUUAAAAGAACUACACUUUGCAGCAAGUAUUUCAGAUUUACAUACAACAAAUAUGAACUUCAAAAAAUCAUUUUUUGUUUUCUUCUCAGAAUACUGCUGAAGUUCCUUGAAAGGGUCUGUAGUGUAUGCUGCUUAUUACAGGAUGAUGUGUACAUAGGGAUCGGACAAGCAUAAGGCAUUCACUCUCCAGAACAGAAUUGUAUUAUUCAAGAGUCAGAUUCAGAAUGACUUCUGGUAACUUACUUGGUGAUGGCAAAUAGCUUGAAGUGCAACUACUUUGUUCUCAGUUGUCUCAGUUUUACAAGACGGAUAACCCUCACCAGCUAAGAAUGCACUACUUACUGCAAGCACCAGCUUAAAAACAGAGCCUGCACCAUCACUGCUAUGCUAACUUCAAGUCAUCUUUCCUCCCCUUCCUCUGACCCAUACUUCAGUUAUUUGGAAUAUUUCCUAUUGCAGAUGAGCCCUGCUGCUAUUACUUCCAAUAAUAUUGAGACAAGCACACACUCUCUAGUGAAAUAAACUCCAUUCUACUA
This is a non-coding RNA of Meleagris gallopavo (turkey), 1390 nucleotides long. NCBI's taxonomy places the organism in Eukaryota, Metazoa, Chordata, Aves, Galliformes, Phasianidae. The record is from RefSeq and is a predicted model, not a curated record.